GAUGAACGCUAGCGACAGGCCUAACACAUGCAAGUCGAGGGGCAUCGGGACGUAGCAAUACGUUGCCGGCGACCGGCGGAUGGGUGAGUAACGCGUAUGCAACCUACCCGUAGCAGGGGGAUAGCCCGUUGAAAGACGGAUUAAUACCCCGUAACACAGGGGCUCCGCAUGGAGAUUAUUGUUAAAGGGUCAUUUCUUUUAGAGGUGGUCCGGCUACGGAUGGGCAUGCGUUCCAUUAGGUAGUUGGUGUAGGUAACGGCUCACCAAGCCGACGAUGGAUAGGGGAACUGAGAGGUUGGUCCCCCACACUGGUACUGAGACACGGCCCAGACUCCUACGGGAGGCAGCAGUGGGGAAUCUUCCGCAAUGGGCGCAAGCCUGACGGAGCAACGCCGCGUGGGUGAAGAAGGCCUUCGGGUUAUAAAGCCCUGUCUUAUGGGAAGAAGUCAGUGACGGUACCAUAGGAGGAAGCCACGGCUAACUACGUG
This 488-nucleotide ribosomal RNA is filed under the name uncultured bacterium. Its description in RNAcentral is "bacterial SSU rRNA". It matches the Rfam family "Bacterial small subunit ribosomal RNA", at positions 28 to 507 of the family's 1533-position model. The record is from RNAcentral.